Molecule: ribosomal RNA, 253 nt
Filed under: uncultured bacterium
Lineage: Bacteria
Description: partial 16S ribosomal RNA
Rfam family: Bacterial small subunit ribosomal RNA
Source: RNAcentral
GACGAACCGUGCGAACGUUGUUCGGAAUCACUGGGCUUAAAGGGCGCGUAGGCGGGCUAUCAAGUCCGGGGUGAAAUCCUCCAGCUCAACUGGAGAACUGCCUCGGAUACUGAUGGUCUCGAGGAGGAUAGGGGCACACGGAACUGCGGGUGGAGCGGUGAAAUGCGUUGAUAUCCAUAGGAACUCCGGUGGCGAAAGCGGUGUGCUGGAUCCUUUCUGACGCUGAGGCGCGAAAGCCAGGGGAGCAAACGGG